GACGAACGCUGGCGGCGUGCCUAAUACAUGCAAGUAGAACGCUGAAGAGAGGAGCUUGCUCUUCUUGGAUGAGUUGCGAACGGGUGAGUAACGCGUAGGUAACCUGCCUUGUAGCGGGGGAUAACUAUUGGAAACGAUAGCUAAUACCGCAUAACAAUGGAUGACACAUGUCAUUUAUUUGAAAGGGGCAAUUGCUCCACUACAAGAUGGACCUGCGUUGUAUUAGCUAGUAGGUGAGGUAAUGGCUCACCUAGGCGACGAUACAUAGCCGACCUGAGAGGGUGAUCGGCCACACUGGGACUGAGACACGGCCCAGACUCCUACGGGAGGCAGCAGUAGGAAAUCUUCGGCAAUGGGGGCAACCCUGACCGAGCAACGCCGCGUGAGUGAAGAAGGUUUUCGGAUCGUAAAGCUCUGUUGUAAGUCAAGAACGGGUGUGAGAGUGGAAAGUUCACACUGUGACGGUAGCUUACCAGAAAGGGACGGCUAACUACGUG
Molecule: ribosomal RNA, 497 nt
Filed under: uncultured bacterium
Lineage: Bacteria
Description: partial 16S ribosomal RNA
Rfam family: Bacterial small subunit ribosomal RNA
Source: RNAcentral